GACGAACGCUGGCGGCGUGCUUAACACAUGCAAGUCGAACGGGAAGAAAAAGAAGAGCUUGCUCUUUUUUUGGAUUCUAGUGGCAAACGGGUGAGUAACACGUAAACAACCUGCCUUCAGGAUGGGGACAACAGACGGAAACGACUGCUAAUACCGAAUACCUUCCAAUUUCCGCAUUGGAGAUAGGAAGAAACGGGUGGCCUCUACUUGUAAGCUAUCGCCUGAAGAGGGGUUUGCGUCUGAUUAGCUAGUUGGUGAGGUAACGGCCCACCAAGGCGACGAUCAGUAGCCGGUCUGAGAGGUUGAACGGCCACAUUGGGACUGAGAUACGGCCCAGACUCCUACGGGAGGCAGCAGUGGGGAAUAUUGGGCAAUGGGCGCAAGCCUGACCCAGCAACGCCGCGUG
This 406-nucleotide ribosomal RNA is filed under the name uncultured bacterium. RNAcentral describes it as "bacterial SSU rRNA". It matches the Rfam family "Bacterial small subunit ribosomal RNA", at positions 28 to 403 of the family's 1533-position model. The record is from RNAcentral.